ACCUCAGUAACGGCGAGUGAAGCGGUAACAGCUCAAAUUUGAAAUCUGGCUCCUCUGGAGUCCGAAUUGUAAUUUGUAGAAGAUGCUUUGGGUUGUGGGUUCGGCCUAAGUUCCUUGGAACAGGACGUCAUAGAGGGUGAGAAUCCCGUAUGUGGCCGAGGCCCGCGCCUAUGUAAAGCUCUUUCAACGAGUCGAGUUGUUUGGGAAUGCAGCUCAAAAUGGGUGGUAAAUUUCAUCUAAAGCUAAAUAUGGGCCAGAGACCGAUAGCGCACAAGUAGAGUGAUCGAAAGAUGAAAAGCACUUUGGAAAGAGAGUUAAACAGUACGUGAAAUUGUUGAAAGGGAAGCGCUUGCACCCAGACUUGGGCGCUGCUGAUCACCUUGAGGUCUCCUCGAGUGCACUCGACAGCGCACAGGCCAGCAUCGGUUCGGGUGGCUGGAUAAAGGCCGUAGGAACGUAGCUCUCUUCGGGGAGUGUUAUAGCCUACGGUGCCAUGCAGCCCAGCCGGACCGAGGACCGCGCCUUCGGGCUAGGAUGCUGGCGUAAUGGGUGUAAGCGACCCGUCUUGAAACACGGACCAAGGAGUCUAACAUCUAUGCGAGUGUUUGGGUGGUAAACCCAUACGCGGAAUGAAAGUGAACGUAGGUGAGAACCCCCUUUGGGGGCGCAUCAUCGACCGAUCCUGAUGUCUUCGGAUGGAUUUGAGUAAGAGCAUAGC
RNAcentral lists this ribosomal RNA (718 nucleotides) under Erysiphe heraclei. Its description in RNAcentral is "partial large subunit ribosomal RNA". It matches the Rfam family "Eukaryotic large subunit ribosomal RNA", at positions 77 to 806 of the family's 3401-position model. The record is from RNAcentral. Lineage: Eukaryota; Fungi; Ascomycota; Leotiomycetes; Helotiales; Erysiphaceae.